RNAcentral lists this ribosomal RNA (253 nucleotides) under uncultured bacterium. RNAcentral's name for it is "partial 16S ribosomal RNA". It matches the Rfam family "Bacterial small subunit ribosomal RNA", at positions 524 to 776 of the family's 1533-position model. The record is from RNAcentral.
UACAGAGGGGGCAAGCGUUGUUCGGAAUUACUGGGCGUAAAGCGCGUGUAGGCGGACCGUUAUGUCAGGCGUGAAAGCCCUGGGCUCAACCCAGGAACUGCACCUGAAACUGGCGGUCUUGAGUGGUGGAGAGGGAAGUGGAAUUCCUGGUGUAGAGGUGAAAUUCGUAGAUAUCAGGAGGAACACCAGUGGCGAAGGCGGCUUCCUGGACACCAACUGACGCUGAGACGCGAAAGCGUGGGGAGCAAACAGG